RNAcentral lists this ribosomal RNA (523 nucleotides) under uncultured bacterium. RNAcentral's name for it is "bacterial SSU rRNA". It matches the Rfam family "Bacterial small subunit ribosomal RNA", at positions 1 to 539 of the family's 1533-position model. The record is from RNAcentral.
GAAUUCGCCCUUAGAGUUUGAUCCUGGCUCAGGACGAACGCUGGAGGCGUGCUUAAUACAUGCAAGUCGAACGAACUCGACCUUCGGGUCAUAUGAGUGAGUGGCGAACGGGUGAGUAACACGUGAGAAACCUGCCUCGAAGUUUGGGAUAACCCAGGGAAACUCGGGCUAAUACCAAAUACCUUCUAAGAACCGCCUGGUUCAUUGAAGAAAGAUUUAUCGCUUUGAGAGGGUCUCGCGGCCUAUCAGCUAGUUGGUGAGGUAACGGCUCACCAAGGCAUCGACGGGUAGCUGGUCUGAGAGGACGAUCAGCCACACUGGGACUGAGACACGGCCCAGACUCCUACGGGAGGCAGCAGUAGGGAAUCUUGCACAAUGGGCGAAAGCCUGAUGCAGCGACGCCUCGUGGGGGAUGAAGGCCCUAGGGUCGUAAACCCCUUUCAGUAGGGACGAAAAUGACGGUACCUACAGAAGAAGCUCCGGCCAACUACGUGCCAGCAGCCGCGGUAAUAAGGGCGAAUUC